This is a non-coding RNA of Cinara cedri, 258 nucleotides long. The record is from the annotation of a GenBank genome assembly. Lineage: Eukaryota; Metazoa; Arthropoda; Insecta; Hemiptera; Aphididae.
UCCGCCGUUUUUGUCCCCGCGUCGCGUGUAUUCGUUAUGCGCGUUGAAGACACAAAACGGAAUUAACAAUGUCGGCGACGGUUUUCCGAAUUCCCUCUAAUUUGUUAAAAUUUCACCGUUUGUUCGUACGGUUCGACGACCGCCCCUAGGCCGAUUAGACUUGUCCGCUAUAGCGGUCUACUGGCCGAUACCUAUUCGAGGGGAUGGGCCACGGACGAGUAUGACGUUUUGGCUCGAAAAUCCGUAGAAAACUGUUAG